GUUGCUCUCCUUUCUUUCUUACAACCUAUCUUAGUUUUUGGAUAAAGAUUUAGGAUUUAAGACAAAGUCUUAUCUAGUCCUAACAAGGGUUGUCAGUGACCUAAAGAAGGAGGAUCAAAAGUUUAGAAGAGGUUCUGAGAGGGUGGAGUCAGUUUCUUGAAGAAACCUGAUCGAUAUGAGGCUAGUCAAGUUCUAGUGGCUAGAACUCUUGAAGCA
RNAcentral lists this long non-coding RNA (216 nucleotides) under Elaeis guineensis (African oil palm). RNAcentral's name for it is "long non-coding RNA (EGUI_LNC042900)". Lineage: Eukaryota; Viridiplantae; Streptophyta; Magnoliopsida; Arecales; Arecaceae. The record is from RNAcentral.